CGAACGCUGGCGGCGUGCUUAACACAUGCAAGUCGAACGGAAAGGCCCUGCUUGCAGGGUACUCGAGUGGCGAACGGGUGAGUAACACGUGGGUGAUCUGCCCUGCACUUCGGGAUAAGCCUGGGAAACUGGGUCUAAUACCGGGUAGGAGCCAUUUUUAGUGUGAUGGUUGGAAAGUUUUUUCGGUGUAGGAUGAGCUCGCGGCCUAUCAGCUUGUUGGUGGGGUAAUGGCCUACCAAGGCGGCGACGGGUAGCCGGCCUGAGAGGGUGGACGGCCACAUUGGGACUGAGAUACGGCCCAGACUCCUACGGGAGGCAGCAGUGGGGAAUAUUGCACAAUGGGCGCAAGCCUGAUGCAGCGACGCCGCGUGGGGGAUGACGGCCUUCGGGUUGUAAACUCCUUUCGCUAGGGACGAAGCUUUUUGUGACGGUACCUAGAUAAGAAGCACCGGCUAACUACGUG
This 463-nucleotide ribosomal RNA is filed under the name uncultured bacterium. RNAcentral's name for it is "partial 16S ribosomal RNA". It matches the Rfam family "Bacterial small subunit ribosomal RNA", at positions 30 to 507 of the family's 1533-position model. The record is from RNAcentral.